UCCUUGGUAGUCCAGUGACUAAGACUCCUGCUCCCAAUGCAGGGGGCCCAGGUUCAAUCCCUGGUCAGGGAA
This is a non-coding RNA of Cervus elaphus (red deer), 72 nucleotides long. The record is from the annotation of a RefSeq genome assembly. Lineage: Eukaryota; Metazoa; Chordata; Mammalia; Artiodactyla; Cervidae.